RNAcentral lists this ribosomal RNA (253 nucleotides) under uncultured bacterium. Its description in RNAcentral is "partial 16S ribosomal RNA". It matches the Rfam family "Bacterial small subunit ribosomal RNA", at positions 524 to 776 of the family's 1533-position model. The record is from RNAcentral.
UACAGAGGUCCCAAGCGUUGUUCGGAUUCACUGGGCGUAAAGGGUGCGUAGGCGGCGCGGUAAGUCGGGUGUGAAAUCUCGGAGCUUAACUCCGAAACUGCAUUCGAUACUGCCGUGCUUGAGGACUGGAGAGGAGACUGGAAUUUACGGUGUAGCAGUGAAAUGCGUAGAGAUCGUAAGGAAGACCAGUGGCGAAGGCGAGUCUCUGGACAGUUACUGACGCUGAGGCACGAAGGCCAGGGGAGCAAACGGG